UUCGUGUGAACAGUGGUUGAUCACGAGUUAGUCGGUCCUAAGUUCAAGGCGAAAGCCGAAAAUUUUCAAGUAAGAAAUAAUACAAAUAUAUAUAUAUAUGUAUAUUUUCUACACUUGAAUAAUUUUGAACGAAAGGGAAUACGGUUCCAAUUCCGUAACCUGUUGAGUAUCCGUUUGUUAUUAAAUAUGGGCCUCGUGCUCAUCCUGGCAACAGGAACGACCAUAAAGAAGCCGUCGAGAGAUAUCGGAAGAGUUUUCUUUUCUGUUUUAUAGCCGUACUACCAUGGAAGUCUUUCGCAGAGAGAUAUGGUAGAUGGGCUAGAAGAGCAUGACAUAUACUGUUGUGUCGAUAUUUUCUCCUCGGACCUUGAAAAUUUAUGGUGGGGAUACGCAAACUUCUCAACAGGCCGUACCAAUAUCCGCAGCUGGUCUCCAAGGUGAAGAGUCUCUAGUCGAUAGAAUA
RNAcentral lists this ribosomal RNA (463 nucleotides) under Dichaetophora aff. abnormis 3864. RNAcentral's name for it is "partial 28S ribosomal RNA". It matches the Rfam family "Eukaryotic large subunit ribosomal RNA", at positions 1508 to 1897 of the family's 3401-position model. Lineage: Eukaryota; Metazoa; Arthropoda; Insecta; Diptera; Drosophilidae. The record is from RNAcentral.